AUGCUUGCUUCAGCAGCACAUAUACUAAAAUUAGCAUGAUACAGAGAAGAUUAACAUGGCCCCUGCACAAGAAUGGCAGACAAAUUCAUGAAGUGCUCCAUAUCUAU
This 107-nucleotide small nuclear RNA is filed under the name Salvator merianae (Argentine black and white tegu). Lineage: Eukaryota; Metazoa; Chordata; Lepidosauria; Squamata; Teiidae. The record is from RNAcentral.